Molecule: ribosomal RNA, 881 nt
Filed under: Alcaligenes faecalis
Lineage: Bacteria; Pseudomonadati; Pseudomonadota; Betaproteobacteria; Burkholderiales; Alcaligenaceae
Description: bacterial SSU rRNA
Rfam family: Bacterial small subunit ribosomal RNA
Source: RNAcentral
UGUGUAGGCGGUUCGGAAAGAAAGAUGUGAAAUCCCAGGGCUCAACCUUGGAACUGCAUUUUUAACUGCCGAGCUAGAGUAUGUCAGAGGGGGGUAGAAUUCCACGUGUAGCAGUGAAAUGCGUAGAUAUGUGGAGGAAUACCGAUGGCGAAGGCAGCCCCCUGGGAUAAUACUGACGCUCAGACACGAAAGCGUGGGGAGCAAACAGGAUUAGAUACCCUGGUAGUCCACGCCCUAAACGAUGUCAACUAGCUGUUGGGGCCGUUAGGCCUUAGUAGCGCAGCUAACGCGUGAAGUUGACCGCCUGGGGAGUACGGUCGCAAGAUUAAAACUCAAAGGAAUUGACGGGGACCCGCACAAGCGGUGGAUGAUGUGGAUUAAUUCGAUGCAACGCGAAAAACCUUACCUACCCUUGACAUGUCUGGAAAGCCGAAGAGAUUUGGCCGUGCUCGCAAGAGAACCGGAACACAGGUGCUGCAUGGCUGUCGUCAGCUCGUGUCGUGAGAUGUUGGGUUAAGUCCCGCAACGAGCGCAACCCUUGUCAUUAGUUGCUACGCAAGAGCACUCUAAUGAGACUGCCGGUGACAAACCGGAGGAAGGUGGGGAUGACGUCAAGUCCUCAUGGCCCUUAUGGGUAGGGCUUCACACGUCAUACAAUGGUCGGGACAGAGGGUCGCCAACCCGCGAGGGGGAGCCAAUCUCAGAAACCCGAUCGUAGUCCGGAUCGCAGUCUGCAACUCGACUGCGUGAAGUCGGAAUCGCUAGUAAUCGCGGAUCAGAAUGUCGCGGUGAAUACGUUCCCGGGUCUUGUACACACCGCCCGUCACACCAUGGGAGUGGGUUUCACCAGAAGUAGGUAGCCUAACCGUAAGGAGGGCGCU